RNAcentral lists this ribosomal RNA (720 nucleotides) under uncultured Methanosarcinaceae archaeon. RNAcentral's name for it is "SSU rRNA". It matches the Rfam family "Archaeal small subunit ribosomal RNA", at positions 136 to 854 of the family's 1478-position model. The record is from RNAcentral. Lineage: Archaea; Methanobacteriati; Methanobacteriota; Methanomicrobia; Methanosarcinales; Methanosarcinaceae.
GAAACUGGGAAUAAUACCGGAUAACGCACAUAUGCUGAAAUGCUUAUGCGUAAAAUGGAUUCGUCUGCCCAAGGAUGGGUCUGCGGCCUAUCAGGUAGUAGUGGGUGUAAUGUACCUACUAGCCUACAACGGGUACGGGGUUGUGAGAGCAAGAGCCCGAAGAUGGAUUCUGAGACAUGAAUCCAGGCCCUACGGGGCGCAGCAGGCGCGAAAACUUUACAAUGCGGGAAACCGUGAUAAGGGGACACCGAGUGCUAGCAUCAUAUGCUGGCUGUCCAGGUGUGUAAAAUACACCUGUUAGCAAGGGCCGGGCAAGACCGGUGCCAGCCGCCGCGGUAACACCGGCGGCCCGAGUGGUGAUCGUGAUUAUUGGGUCUAAAGGGUCCGUAGCCGGUUUGGUCAGUCCUCCGGGAAAUCUGAUAGCUCAACUAUUAGGCUUUCGGGGGAUACUGCCAGACUUGGAACCGGGAGAGGUAAGAGGUACUACAGGGGUAGGAGUGAAAUCUUGUAAUCCCUGUGGGACCACCUGUGGCGAAGGCGUCUUACCAGAACGGGUUCGACGGUGAGGGACGAAAGCUGGGGGCACGAACCGGAUUAGAUACCCGGGUAGUCCCAGCCGUAAACGAUGCUCGCUAGGUGUCAGGCAUGGCGCGACCGUGUCUGGUGCCGCAGGGAAGCCGUGAAGCGAGCCACCUGGGAAGUACGGCCGCAAGGCUGAAA